GAUGAACGCUGGCGGCGUGCCUAAUACAUGCAAGUCGAGCGAACAGACGAGGAGCUUGCUCCUCUGACGUUAGCGGCGGACGGGUGAGUAACACGUGGAUAACCUACCUAUAAGACUGGGAUAACUUCGGGAAACCGGAGCUAAUACCGGAUAAUAUAUUGAACCGCAUGGUUCAAUAGUGAAAGACGGUUUUGCUGUCACUUACAGAUGGAUCCGCGCCGCAUUAGCUAGUUGGUAAGGUAACGGCUUACCAAGGCAACGAUGCGUAGCCGACCUGAGAGGGUGAACGGCCACACUGGAAAUGAGACACGGUCAAGACUCCUACGGGAGGCAGCAGUAGGGAAUCUUCCGCAAUGGGCGAAAGCCUGACGGAGCAACGACGCGUGAGUGAUGAAGGUCUUCGGAUCGUAAAACUCUGUUAUUAGGGAAGAACAAAUGUGUAAGUAACUAUGCAAGUCUUGACGGUACCUAAUCAGAAAGCCACGGCUAACUACGUG
This 497-nucleotide ribosomal RNA is filed under the name uncultured bacterium. RNAcentral describes it as "partial 16S ribosomal RNA". It matches the Rfam family "Bacterial small subunit ribosomal RNA", at positions 28 to 507 of the family's 1533-position model. The record is from RNAcentral.